GUAGUUUCCCAUCAUGCCACUUUGGGAAGCUGUAUGGUCUGAUCAUGGCUCUGUCUGCAGUGUUUUCUAUCCUGCAGUAUCCAUGCUUUGCCCUGGUGAAUGGACCUCUGGAUGGAAACCCUUUAUAUGUGAACAUUGCUCUGACGCUGCUCAGCCUGGUCACCUUCAUCCAUCCCCUCUCUGUCUUCCUGCACUGUCGAAGUCUCGCCUCCCAGCGAGCCAUCAGUACCUCCUCUUAAAGUCUGUCAAAUGGGACUUGCAGUUAAAAUGUCUUUAAUAUCACCAGUGUCACUGUUACCUCUUCAGUUUGUUUGAUUUAUUAAUAGUGCUCAUAUGUCUGUGUUGUGUUGCCGUAUGUAUCAUCAAGCGCUGGUAAAUACAUUUCGGACUGUAGUGAAGUGUGGUUUCAGCUGCUGUCAUAGAGCAUUCCCCACACUCUCGGUUCAUAUUCACAGCCAAAUUGAAUUUUUCCAUCAUAAUUAAGAUCUUCUGGUGUGCAGUCUGCUGCUGUCGUAAGGUUACAUAACACUUUACCUCUUUUUUGAAAUUUCCACGAUACUUCAUUUUUCUUUUCACUGAUGCAUUGAUCAACUUAUUUUACAGCCUUCUACAGCUGGCUGCUUUACACAACAGUGACAUAUCCAAUGUUCCUUGUUUUAUGCAGUCUUAUAAUUUAACAUAUACUCUUGUAUUAUUUUAUUCUGUGUAAUACUAGCCACCUAUAACACCAUGGUUGGAUUCAGAGUGCCACACUCUUCAGCACUUUGUGCUGAAGAUGUUACAGAUAACACCUAUGUCAGUGUUGACCUAAGUUACCUCUAUAUCCUUUUUUUUUUUUGUUUUUUACCGUAACAGUAGAGUAUAGGACCAAUACGUUUUGUAGGAAAAGGCUAAAUGUAGUAGAAGUGUAGGUGACGAUUGUGAGUGAUAAUCACUGAUAUCAGGUAGAUGACACAGCUCUGCCAUCUGCUGGCCUCUCAGUUAAUAGCUUCUGAAAUCAGCAUUGUGCCAAAUAUCAACCAACAGGAAAUAGAUAUUGUUUUAUGUUUCAGUUGUAUCCAACAUUUGAAGUCUCAGGUGCUCAGUGUGACUCAGUGUGGUGCGUGCUGCACCAAAUGAAAUGUAUCUAUUGAUAUGAACUUAAAAUCCUUUGUGGUAAAGGGAAUUCAUUUUUAAUAUUUACUUUUGUCCAAAUAAAAAUUAGUGAUCAACUA
Molecule: long non-coding RNA, 1214 nt
Organism: Anarrhichthys ocellatus (wolf-eel)
Lineage: Eukaryota; Metazoa; Chordata; Actinopteri; Perciformes; Anarhichadidae
Exons: 2
Source: RefSeq, a predicted model, not a curated record